CAAGUUGAGUUGUGUGUGGCACUGAAAAUGGGUGGCAUCUGAAUAAGAAUAGAAUAAGUUGAUUUCAAGUUGAGUUGUGUGUUUAACGAAUGUAAUGAAAUAAACUGAAAUAAAUGAUGUAUGUGGCACCAAGAACGGGGUGUGUUUAUAAAGGAAAUGCUGACCGCAGCGGAAACGGGGUAAGUUACCGGUGCAUGAUAAGAUCGAGUUAUGCCGAGUCUGGGUAUAAGUAACUACAUGUACUGCAAGGUGGACUGUGCCGUGAAAGACAAUGGAUCGCAGGGUGGGUAGUCAUAUAGGAGCUGCAUGAUUGUAUCCCGGGAAGGGCUCCUUGCAGAAAUGCCGCGAUGAGCCUUGUGUGUGAGCGCUAAAUCAUAUAGGUCUAGGUUGAUUGGUGUAUUAAUCUUAUAUGGGGUGAUGAUUGAAUUCAUUACAUUGCUUGAUCUUUUCUUAUCACUGAUUGUUUAAUAGUCAGUUGCUAGUCAGUUCUCUUUUUGCAUUAGAUAUAGAAGUUCAU
Molecule: long non-coding RNA, 517 nt
Filed under: Brassica napus (rape)
Lineage: Eukaryota; Viridiplantae; Streptophyta; Magnoliopsida; Brassicales; Brassicaceae
Description: long non-coding RNA (BNAP_LNC007037)
Source: RNAcentral